This 524-nucleotide ribosomal RNA is filed under the name uncultured Phascolarctobacterium sp. RNAcentral describes it as "bacterial SSU rRNA". It matches the Rfam family "Bacterial small subunit ribosomal RNA", at positions 383 to 900 of the family's 1533-position model. Lineage: Bacteria; Bacillati; Bacillota; Negativicutes; Acidaminococcales; Acidaminococcaceae. The record is from RNAcentral.
CUGACGGAGCACGCCGCGUGAGUGAUGAAGGAUUUCGGUCUGUAAAGCUCUGUUGUUUAUGACGAACGUGCAGUGUGUGAACAAUGCAUUGCAAUGACGGUAGUAAACGAGGAAGCCACGGCUAACUACGUGCCAGCAGCCGCGGUAAUACGUAGGUGGCGAGCGUUGUCCGGAAUUAUUGGGCGUAAAGAGCAUGUAGGCGGCUUAAUAAGUCGAGCGUGAAAAUGCGGGGCUCAACCCCGUAUGGCGCUGGAAACUGUUAGGCUUGAGUGCAGGAGAGGAAAGGGGAAUUCCCAGUGUAGCGGUGAAAUGCGUAGAUAUUGGGAGGAACACCAGUGGCGAAGGCGCCUUUCUGGACUGUGUCUGACGCUGAGAUGCGAAAGCCAGGGUAGCGAACGGGAUUAGAUACCCCGGUAGUCCUGGCCGUAAACGAUGGGUACUAGGUGUAGGAGGUAUCGACCCCUUCUGUGCCGGAGUUAACGCAAUAAGUACCCCGCCUGGGAGUACGGCCGCAAGGUUGAAAC